CCUACGGGAGGCAGCAGUGAGGAAUAUUGGUCAAUGGACGAGAGUCUGAACCAGCCAAGUAGCGUGAAGGAUGACUGCCCUAUGGGUUGUAAACUUCUUUUAUAUGGGAAUAAAACGUUCCACGUGUGGGAUGUUGUAUGUACCAUAUGAAUAAGGAACGGCUAACUCCGUGCCAGCAGCCGCGGUAAUACGGAGGAGUCGAGCGUUAUCCGGAUUUAUUGGGUUUAAAGGGAGCGUAGGUGGAUUGUUAAGUCAGUUGUGAAAGUUUGCGGCUCAACCGUAAAAUUGCAGUUGAAACUGGCAGUCUUGAGUACAGUAGAGGUGGGCGGAAUUCGUGGUGUAGCGGUGAAAUGCGUAGAUAUCACGAAGAACUCCGAUUGCGAAGGCAGCUCACUGGACUGCAACUGACACUGAGGCUCGAAAGUGUGGGUAUCAAACAGGAUUAGAUACCCGAGUAGUC
RNAcentral lists this ribosomal RNA (460 nucleotides) under uncultured bacterium. RNAcentral describes it as "partial 16S ribosomal RNA". It matches the Rfam family "Bacterial small subunit ribosomal RNA", at positions 338 to 795 of the family's 1533-position model. The record is from RNAcentral.